Molecule: long non-coding RNA, 3811 nt
Organism: Pteropus alecto (black flying fox)
Lineage: Eukaryota; Metazoa; Chordata; Mammalia; Chiroptera; Pteropodidae
Exons: 3
Source: RefSeq, a predicted model, not a curated record
UCUCUCCCAGAGGGCUGAAGGAAGAAAAAAUAUCCGCUGCACAGCUUUGGAAAUUAGCUGCUUGUCACUCACUGGCUCGGAGUGGGAUUUGGAUCUUGUGGCCUUCGCUCCAGAGCGCUGGACCGGCUCCCCAUUAGGCAAGAGACGUGCAGCUGGAAGGGGACCUGCUGCCAAGGCACUUCGGGUGAGGAAAGCCAGUUGCGGGCAGCUCCGCGGUAACGUGAGCCCUGGCUUCUGAGUGCCAUCAUUUAUCUGCAGGUCCCCAGGCACCUUCGAAACUAGGCACGUAGCCCUCCAUAGGCAUCUGAGGAUCCGGAGUGAGCCGGCCAGCACCUUCUCCCUGGAAAGGAAAUUUCGCGGUCAUAUCUUGGGGGAAGGAGCUCCAAGGGAAGUAUUCAGGUCCUUGGUCGUCUGGGUGGGGCAGCCAACUGGAAACUGACCCAGGGUGCCUUUCAAAAGGGUCACCCAUUGUCUAAUUUUAUAUUAUGCAAACUGACACUGCAAACCCAGAAUGGAUGGAGUCGGUGUUCAUGGGAGCUGGAUCUGGAGAGUAGAAUAUGUCGCCAUAGUUCCCCAGGCACAGGGUCCAUACUGUCUGAAGGAAGCCUGCGGGGGCUGGGGCAGCACAUCCUAAGGCAUUUGGCUGAUACUCGGUGCUCUGAAUUCAGAGUGGUGGGAAAACUGGAAUGGAAAACCAGGAGGGUGGACAGAAGCUGUGUCACAGGGGCAUAGGUGGGGCCAACACGGAAGAUCAGGCCCAAGCUGGGCUCCCCGCUGGCAGGUCUAGAGCCGCGCAACUCCUUGCAGGCCCCGCGGUCAGAAGUGCAAUGUUCUGCCUGACUUGGGCAGACUGACUCAGGAAUGGGGCUGACAGCAGGAUCUGGAGAGACGGAUCUACUUGGAUGCUUCCAGGCCUGCCAGGAUUCAGUUCCUGGGGUGCUGGUUGCGGUAUCACUGCCAAGUAAGGACACAUAUCAGAAGUUUGACCUGUAGCCAGAGGGAGAUUGAUUUAUUUCACAUAAGCCAACCACUCUAGAAAUCUGUUCAUUAAUUUAUUACUUUUUGUCCCAACUUAUGAAUUCUUUUGCUCCACUAGACUUGGUCCUGAUUAAAUUUUGACCAGUUGCAAAUCCCAAAUCCACCAGAGAAUUCUUCCUCAGAAAACUGUAACUGUUUCUGCUUCUCGAAAAUGAAAGCAUUCAGUGUUAGGCUCUUCAUCAAGGAUAAGGGCUUCCUCCCGUGACCUGGCCUCGACCUGCCUCCUCCUACCAUCUCCCACCCUACACAUGAGUGGAACCAGUGUACCUGCCAGGCCUCAAACUUACAAGAUUUAAAAAAUGACUCUUCCUUCUGGAUGGAGAAGAAACGAGACAUAGAUCCCAUCAUCAUUCCUUCCCCGUCCCUCUAGCCCUCUGGGUGAAAAUGCUGGAUGGACACGCUGACAAAAGCCAGCCAGCUCAAACGCAAGGCAGCAAGCAUGGCUGUGUACCGUCCUGGAUGUUGGAACAAGCCGAUGACUGACUUCUUUCCCACACUGGAAUGCUGGUUCAGGGAAGAAUGCAGCCAAGCUUUCUGGCCGCUGUGACCCUCAGCUACGACGGGCCUCCUACAUUCUCUUGCUUGUGCAUCAAGUCUUUGGCUACUCGCUGCCAAGUAUUAAGUACUUGUUCCACAAACCUGGUGUAGAUUAUCACUUCGCUGUAUAGAUGUAUCUAAUAGAAUUAAAUAGUUGGCUCCUGACCAGUAACAGAUGUGCUACAUAUAAUGCAAUAAUAAUGAGAUAGAAACCACCAUGUAAUAUCGAGGGAAGAGUGGAGGGCGACUUGCAUUUCUCUAGUUGGGAAGCCAGCUUGGAGGAAAAAGAAACUAGAAAGGAUGGCCAUUUAUGUGCAUUGAAUAAGCUGCCCCUAUGUGUUUCAAAUUCUCCAAGGGGUGUCUUUUGCACUCCCGCGCACAUACAUGGCAGGGGAGGCACACAGCGUGGGGAUGGCAUGGUUUGUGCUGGAGGGGGACGGAUCCAGCUCCAUAACCAUGCUGGAUCAGUCCCAUGCCCCCAAACUGGUGCUGCUCGGCAUUGGGGGACUGUAAUGAGAUCAUAACAGGAUAGUCUCUUGCAGGCUGCUCUAGGUGAGGGCUGACAAGUGAAACCUGAUCUCGGGAUAUCACCCACACGGACAGGAGUAAGGCAAAAGUAUAGAUGAGGACAGAAGGAAACCAGGCCACUGCUGGGCAGGUCCCCAGUGCAGGGGACUCCAGCGCUCUUUCCUGAACCUCCCUCAGAAUUGAGGGGUCUCUGGGCACGUGUUCUCUCUAAGAGUUGACAACUCUGGUUCCUGGGACUGCUCAUCAGGAGACCCAGAAGGGACUGUGCCUACAGUGAAGGAGCAGCCAAACUCGACCCUAGGGUCAAAAGGCAGCCGCGGGGGUGGAAUUCCUGCUAUGUAGCAGCGCUUCCUAUGAGUUCAGAGCCGGGCUGCUUUAUUCUGUUGCUGUUCCCUCCGUCUUCUUCCCCAUUGUCCCCCUCUUCUCUACGCUGCAAAACCAAUGUCGCUGAGUAACAAACAACCUCAAAACUUAAUAUAUGGCUUUUCCCCCCACAAGUUUAUGGGUCAUUCGGCCGAUCUGAGGGGCCUCACCAAACUGGCAGGGGACCGACUGGCUGGUCUAGGAUGGCCUUAGGUCCUCAUAGCUCUCCGGCCCUCCAGUAGGCUAGCCCCGCUAUGUUCUUAUGGCAGUGUCAGAGUUGUGAGAGAGAGCAAGGCCAGUUGCACAAGAGCGUUGGUGGAAACAGGCGUGCACUUCCAAACCACUUACAUCAUAUUUGCUAGUAUCCAAUUAGCCAAUCAUGUCUCAUCUGAGUGAGAAGGGACUGCAAAGUUACAGGGCAAAGGGCAAGGAUUCAGGGAGGCUGUUAAUUAGAGCCAUCGAUGCAGUCAUUCUAUUAUAGUAUACUUGGAAUUUUCCAGAGGCUUUCAAGUCUACAGGUUAGGUACAGUCAAUGAGACAGAUCAAUGACAUGCCCUAGAAACCCAAUCUUCCUUCAUUCCAUCCACAGAAAUGGUCAAGGGGCAGCUGGGCCAGUUUCUGGUUGUUUCCCCCUAGACUUCCAUCUUCUACUUUCCCACACACUGAUACUUUGGGAUCGCCUGCUUCUCCCGCUUCUCUUCCCCUGUCCUAACAUAUGCAUACACACUCACUUUCCGGGGACUCUUCCCGCCGCAAUUCUCAGCCCGUAAAAAAAAUGGGUAAGACGCUGACAAUCUGGGUGUGAGAGCACAGCAGACAGUCCCAGAGAGAUUAGGUAGCAAGAGAUGCAAGAUAAAGGUGAAAAACAGACUCGAGGCUGAGAGGAGUUCAAAUAAAACCAGGGCGCCCUGGGUCCAGAGGUGCAACUGAGGCCAAGACAAGAUGAGGGCAAACAGGCCCACCUCGUCAGGUAAACGAAAUCGAGGGCAGCAUAGACAAGCGGUCCUAACAGUACCAAAAGAAUCGCUCCAAAAGCGAAAAGAAAUGGAGCAUAAUAAUUGCUCAAUAAGUGUGUGUGGCCUGACUGGCUAGGAAACUAUUCUAAGAAACCAACGGAAUCUCAAACAAAGAUUUAGAAACAAGGAGAGUCAUCGAAGCAUAUUUGUAAGAUUGGAAACAAACAGAACUUCAACAAUAAGGACGUGAUUCAAUAAUUUAUGCUACAUCUAUAUAAUGGCAUAUCAUGCAGUUAUUUAAAACGAUGUUUUAAAUUAAAUUUUUAUGACUGCAGGAGAGCCUCGCCAUGUAAUUUGAAGUGAGAAAGCAAGUUACAAAACUACAUGCA